Molecule: long non-coding RNA, 444 nt
Organism: Drosophila yakuba
Lineage: Eukaryota; Metazoa; Arthropoda; Insecta; Diptera; Drosophilidae
Exons: 2
Source: RefSeq, a predicted model, not a curated record
AUCAGCUUAACCUGAAAUAAAACAAAUUAAAUUUAGAUCUAGUUUGUAAGGUUUAAUUUGUAGUUUUUUGUAAAUUUAUUGAGAAAGUAACGUUUUGUUUGCAACUGUCCUGCUCACCCAAAAUGUAAAGCUUAAUAUGCAAUUUGCAUAAUAUAUUCUGUACACCAUUCACUGGAUCAACGCAAGAAUCGCCCUUGACAAUUUUCGCAUCAGCGUUGACAUGUGGUUCCCAAUGGUGCAGCUGGUCACGAGUGACAUUUCGUGACAGGAUGUUGGUCCUUGGACAUCCUGUGGGUGGCCCCAAUAGGACAUGCGACAUUUAAUUGCAUACUCGGAUAAAUAAAUGUUCAAUUCGUUGGCCUUCUUUAGCUUCUGGUGGGCCAGUUUACAUUUUGUAAAUUAAUGUAUUAAUUUAUGGCUGCUUACUUUGACACAGCUUUAUAA